Molecule: long non-coding RNA, 217 nt
Filed under: Elaeis guineensis (African oil palm)
Lineage: Eukaryota; Viridiplantae; Streptophyta; Magnoliopsida; Arecales; Arecaceae
Description: long non-coding RNA (EGUI_LNC022471)
Source: RNAcentral
GGGGUGGAGACAGUUACAGGAGGAAGGAGGUUUAGAUCUAGCUUUAGAGUUGGUUCUAGGGUUUUUUUGGAGAGGAAGAGGUGAUCGAGGGUGAGGUCAAUGGGUAUAGAGUGGAGAGAAUUGAAGAGAGGGUUAGAUCUAGGGUUCGGCAAGGUCAGUGGAGAUGGGAUUUGAGAAGAGAGAGUUUGACAAAAUUGAUAGAGGAGUUGAUGGGGAG